RNAcentral lists this long non-coding RNA (512 nucleotides) under Manihot esculenta (cassava). Its description in RNAcentral is "long non-coding RNA (MESC_LNC004933)". The record is from RNAcentral. Lineage: Eukaryota; Viridiplantae; Streptophyta; Magnoliopsida; Malpighiales; Euphorbiaceae.
ACAACCAUCAAAGUGAAAUAUAUAGGUAUUAAGUGGCUCUGUAUUUUUUCUCCUUAUGGUUUUCUCUUCUUCUGACAGUAGGUCUCUUCUUGUGUUGGAAUCGCAGCUGCCCCUGUCUGGAAGUGGCUCCUCCACUUCACUCGAAUGGUGAAUUUCUUCUUCCUCCCCUCCGAGUGAAAAUAUAGAUAGUUUUUUGUUUGACUUUAUCAGCAGGCGUACUUAUAUGAGAGAGAGGUUUUGUUUUCUGCCGUUGGGUUGUUUGUAUUAUUUUUCUUAUUGACACCUCUAGAUUUGAGCCAUAAGGUUUGAUAGUGGAGAAGCAUCGAUGGGUUGGUGUUUGGUGCUCUCUCCCUCCCUUAUUGUUUCUAGAGGUUUUCUCCUUGGCCCAAUCAGAGAAAUUCCCUCAGUUUUGUGCUUUUGAUGUCUUCUUUGCUUCCAACGAUGGGUGAGAUGGAGAAUUCUCCUCUAGCCGCCUCAUCUUCAAGUAAUAAAACAUACGGAUCUUAUUAUUA